GUGCUCACUUUGGCAGCAUAUAUACUAAAAUUGGGACAAUACAUAGAAGAUUAGCAUGGCUCCUGUGCAAGGAUGACAUGCAAAUUCAUGAAGCAUUCCAUAUUUUU
Molecule: small nuclear RNA, 107 nt
Organism: Cynocephalus volans (Philippine flying lemur)
Lineage: Eukaryota; Metazoa; Chordata; Mammalia; Dermoptera; Cynocephalidae
Source: RefSeq, a predicted model, not a curated record